Molecule: ribosomal RNA, 125 nt
Filed under: Slooffia cresolica
Lineage: Eukaryota; Fungi; Basidiomycota; Microbotryomycetes; Chrysozymaceae
Description: partial small subunit ribosomal RNA
Rfam family: Eukaryotic small subunit ribosomal RNA
Source: RNAcentral
CCUUUGUACACACCGCCCGUCGCUACUACCGAUUGAAUGGCUUAGUGAGGCCUCCGGAUUGGCUAUUGGGAUCCCUCGCGGGAACCUGACUGCUGAGAAGUUGUACGAACUUGGUCAUUUAGAGG